This 2255-nucleotide ribosomal RNA is filed under the name uncultured Enterococcus sp. RNAcentral's name for it is "partial contains 16S ribosomal RNA, 16S-23S ribosomal RNA intergenic spacer, and 23S ribosomal RNA". The stretch from base 1 to 1534 matches the Rfam family "Bacterial small subunit ribosomal RNA". Lineage: Bacteria; Bacillati; Bacillota; Bacilli; Lactobacillales; Enterococcaceae. The record is from RNAcentral.
GACGAACGCUGGCGGCGUGCCUAAUACAUGCAAGUCGAACGCUUCUUUCCUCCCGAGUGCUUGCACUCAAUUGGAAAGAGGAGUGGCGGACGGGUGAGUAACACGUGGGUAACCUACCCAUCAGAGGGGGAUAACACUUGGAAACAGGUGCUAAUACCGCAUAACAGUUUAUGCCGCAUGGCAUAAGAGUGAAAGGCGCUUUCGGGUGUCGCUGAUGGAUGGACCCGCGGUGCAUUAGCUAGUUGGUGAGGUAACGGCUCACCAAGGCCACGAUGCAUAGCCGACCUGAGAGGGUGAUCGGCCACACUGGGACUGAGACACGGCCCAGACUCCUACGGGAGGCAGCAGUAGGGAAUCUUCGGCAAUGGACGAAAGUCUGACCGAGCAACGCCGCGUGAGUGAAGAAGGUUUUCGGAUCGUAAAACUCUGUUGUUAGAGAAGAACAAGGACGUUAGUAACUGAACGUCCCCUGACGGUAUCUAACCAGAAAGCCACGGCUAACUACGUGCCAGCAGCCGCGGUAAUACGUAGGUGGCAAGCGUUGUCCGGAUUUAUUGGGCGUAAAGCGAGCGCAGGCGGUUUCUUAAGUCUGAUGUGAAAGCCCCCGGCUCAACCGGGGAGGGUCAUUGGAAACUGGGAGACUUGAGUGCAGAAGAGGAGAGUGGAAUUCCAUGUGUAGCGGUGAAAUGCGUAGAUAUAUGGAGGAACACCAGUGGCGAAGGCGGCUCUCUGGUCUGUAACUGACGCUGAGGCUCGAAAGCGUGGGGAGCAAACAGGAUUAGAUACCCUGGUAGUCCACGCCGUAAACGAUGAGUGCUAAGUGUUGGAGGGUUUCCGCCCUUCAGUGCUGCAGCAAACGCAUUAAGCACUCCGCCUGGGGAGUACGACCGCAAGGUUGAAACUCAAAGGAAUUGACGGGGGCCCGCACAAGCGGUGGAGCAUGUGGUUUAAUUCGAAGCAACGCGAAGAACCUUACCAGGUCUUGACAUCCUUUGACCACUCUAGAGAUAGAGCUUUCCCUUCGGGGACAAAGUGACAGGUGGUGCAUGGUUGUCGUCAGCUCGUGUCGUGAGAUGUUGGGUUAAGUCCCGCAACGAGCGCAACCCUUAUUGUUAGUUGCCAUCAUUUAGUUGGGCACUCUAGCGAGACUGCCGGUGACAAACCGGAGGAAGGUGGGGAUGACGUCAAAUCAUCAUGCCCCUUAUGACCUGGGCUACACACGUGCUACAAUGGGAAGUACAACGAGUCGCUAGACCGCGAGGUCAUGCAAAUCUCUUAAAGCUUCUCUCAGUUCGGAUUGCAGGCUGCAACUCGCCUGCAUGAAGCCGGAAUCGCUAGUAAUCGCGGAUCAGCACGCCGCGGUGAAUACGUUCCCGGGCCUUGUACACACCGCCCGUCACACCACGAGAGUUUGUAACACCCGAAGUCGGUGAGGUAACCUUUUUGGAGCCAGCCGCCUAAGGUGGGAUAGAUGAUUGGGGUGAAGUCGUAACAAGGUAGCCGUAUCGGAAGGUGCGGCUGGAUCACCUCCUUUCUAAGGAAUAUUACGGAAAUACACAUUUCGUCUUUGCUUUGUUCAGUUUUGAGAGGUCUACUCUCAAAACAUUCGUUCAUUGAAAACUGGAUAUUGAAGUAAAAAGAAUCAAAACAAACCGAGAACACCGCGUUGAAUGAGUUUUUUAAUAAGUUCAAUUGCUUAUUUAUUGAUUAACCUUCUAUCGCUAGAAGAAGUGAUCAAGACCCAACCGUAAGGUUGAUAAGGUUAAGUGAAUAAGGGCGCACGGUGGAUGCCUUGGCACUAGGAGCCGAUGAAGGACGGGACUAACACCGAUAUGCUUUGGGGAGCUGUAAGUAAGCUAUGAUCCAGAGAUUUCCGAAUGGGGGAACCCAAUAUCUUUUAUAGGAUAUUACUUUUCAGUGAAUACAUAGCUGAUUAGAGGUAGACGCAGAGAACUGAAACAUCUUAGUACCUGCAGGAAGAGAAAGAAAAUUCGAUUCCCUGAGUAGCGGCGAGCGAAACGGGAAGAGCCCAAACCAACAAGCUUGCUUGUUGGGGUUGUAGGACUCCAAUAUGGUAGUCUGUUAGUAUAGUUGAAGGAUUUGGAAAAUUCCGCUAAAGAGGGUGAAAGCCCCGUAGACGAAAUGCUGACAACACCUAGGAGGAUCCUGAGUACGGCGGAACACGAGAAAUUCCGUCGGAAUCCGCGGGGACCAUCCCGCAAGGCUAAAUACUCCCUAGUGACCGAUAGUGAACC